UACGUAGGGAGCAAGCGUUGUCCGGAAUCAUUGGGCGUAAAGCGCGCGUAGGUGGCCUCGUAAGUCCGCUGUAAAAGCAAAGGCUCAACCUUUGAAAGCCGGUGGAUACUGCGGGGCUAAGAGUACGGAAGAGGCGAGUGGAAUUCCUGGUGUAGCGGUGGAAUGCGCAGAUAGUCAAGAGGACACCAAUAGCGAAGGCAGACUCGCUGGGACGUUAGCUGACACUGAGGCGCGAAAGCGUGGGGAGCGAACAGGA
This 256-nucleotide ribosomal RNA is filed under the name uncultured bacterium. Its description in RNAcentral is "partial 16S ribosomal RNA". It matches the Rfam family "Bacterial small subunit ribosomal RNA", at positions 524 to 777 of the family's 1533-position model. The record is from RNAcentral.